This 254-nucleotide ribosomal RNA is filed under the name uncultured bacterium. RNAcentral's name for it is "partial 16S ribosomal RNA". It matches the Rfam family "Bacterial small subunit ribosomal RNA", at positions 524 to 776 of the family's 1533-position model. The record is from RNAcentral.
UACGUAGGGAGCGAGCGUUGUCCGGAUUCAUUGGGCUUAAAGCGCUCGUAGGCGGCUUGGUAAGUCGGAUGUGAAACCUCCAGGCUCAACCUGGAGUCGCCAUCCGAUACUGCCAUGGCUAGAGUCCGGUAGGGGCCCACGGAAUUCCUGGUGUAGCGGUGAAAUGCGCAGAUGUCAGGAGGAACACCGAUGGCGAAGGCAGUGGGCUGGGGCGGCACUGACGCUGAGGAGCGAAAGCGUGGGGAGCGAACGGG